UACGGAGGGUGCAAGCGUUAUCCGGAUUUACUGGGUUUAAAGGGUGCGUAGGUGGGUCUGUAAGUCAGUGGUGAAAUCUCCGGGCUUAACCCGGAAACUGCCAUUAAUACUAUAGAUCUUUAAUAUCCUGGAGGUGAGCGGAAUAUGUCAUGUAGCGGUGAAAUGCUUAGAUAUGACAUAGAACACCAAUUGCGAAGGCAGCUCACUACGGGAUCAUUGACACUGAGGCACGAAAGCGUGGGGAUCAAACAGG
This 253-nucleotide ribosomal RNA is filed under the name uncultured bacterium. RNAcentral's name for it is "partial 16S ribosomal RNA". It matches the Rfam family "Bacterial small subunit ribosomal RNA", at positions 524 to 776 of the family's 1533-position model. The record is from RNAcentral.